Molecule: transfer RNA, 87 nt
Filed under: Candidatus Omnitrophota bacterium
Lineage: Bacteria; Pseudomonadati; Candidatus Omnitrophota
Description: tRNA-Leu
Rfam family: tRNA
About the family: Transfer RNA (tRNA) molecules are approximately 80 nucleotides in length. Their secondary structure includes four short double-helical elements and three loops (D, anti-codon, and T loops).
Source: RNAcentral
GCCGAAGUGGCGGAACUGGCAUACGCGCUGCGUUCAGGGCGCAGUGACCGCAAGGUCUUGAGAGUUCAAAUCUCUCCUUCGGCACCA